This 289-nucleotide small RNA is filed under the name human gut metagenome. Its description in RNAcentral is "5' ureB small RNA". It matches the Rfam family "5' ureB small RNA". The record is from RNAcentral.
CUGCUGGGGUGAGCAGAAAUGCACGUGGCCGUCGAUGCCGGCGGCGGUCAGGAUGAGAUGCUCGCCGGAGAUGGCGUCGGUCGAGGGACCUGUGACGAGCGAGGGAGUGACACCCUUCAUCACGUUGGGGUUACCGGCCUUGCCUAUGCCGGCGAUCUUGCCGUCUUUCACGCCGACGUCGGCCUUGAUGACGCCGAGCAGCGGGUCGAGGAUGGUGACGUUGGUGAUCACCAGGUCGAGACUGCCUGCGUCGCACGAGCAGUCGUUGGCGAGGCCCAUGCCGUCGCGU